UUCUGUUGUCUUUUCCUUGCUCCAAUAUAGCUCUACUCUCUAGCAUUUUUGUGCUAUUAUUAUCAUAUAUAUUACAUCUUCAUAUGUUAUAAACCCAACAAUAUACAAUUGACCCUUGAACAAUGCAGAGGCUGGGACACUGACCCCCUUCACAGUUGAAAAUCUACGUAUAACUUUUGACUCCCCCCACAUUUAACCACUACUAGCCUACUAUUGACCAGAAGCCUAAUAACAUAAACAGUAUGUUAGCACAUAUUUUUCUAUGGUCUUGCUGUCUCAGGAGUGGCAGAGAUGGAAGAGGUGGAGGAGGUGGAAGGGGAAGCAGGAAAGGCAGGCAUAGUUGGUGUAAUUUUAUGGAAAUACAUAAUAUUUUCUGCCUUUUUGCUUUUUCAUU
This 394-nucleotide long non-coding RNA is filed under the name Homo sapiens (human). Its description in RNAcentral is "non-protein coding lnc-MRPL14-5:2". The record is from RNAcentral. Lineage: Eukaryota; Metazoa; Chordata; Mammalia; Primates; Hominidae.